GCCCACUUUAACAUCUUCCCGCGGAUAAGAAAAGCUGUUUCCUUGAGGGUGUUUUUUAACAAAAGUGAGUACCGAACUGCUCACCCCGACCUGCCCCAUAAUCAUUAGUAAACCUAACGUUAAGUAGUUAAACAGGUUCCGUGUUGGCUCUAGUGCCAUGAUCUUCGUGGCCCCACUAGACAGUCCGACAGUUCCAAAAGCAGAAGUGGUUUCAAACAGGCUGUCGACAAAGCUAAGCGGUUGUUGCAUACUUAACGGCAACAGAAUGGCAAUAAGAACCACGGACACUAAGCCAAAGACGGCUACCAAGAAGGCAUUAAUCACCGUUUGCCCGUCAAUACUACGCUUAAAGACCUUGACCUCUUUUUGACCGCGGAACUUCGCUUUUAACGUCAAAAAGAUGACCGCUAAAGUAGUAGUGCGAAUCCCUCCGGCGGUAGAAGACGGACUGCCCCCGAUAAACAUAGCAAUCACCAUAAUCCCCUUAAUGAUGUCAGACUCAGCACUUCAGGGAAACACACUAAAGCCAGCGGACCGGGACGAAAUCACCCCAAACCACAGUUGCAUCACCCGACUAGCCGCUGGUAUGGGACCAAAGAUUAAGCUUUGGAGUUCUUGAUUGGAUUUAUUUUUCAGUCCCUCCACUAAGUAGGCCUUCUCGACAUUGAGAUGGGCAAUCGUAUUGGUCAAACUAGUUAUAACAAUAAACUCCACCAUUAACAGCAUUAAAAAACACCAAGCCGUGACAAUCAGGUUAGUGAGUACCGCUAACUUCGUAAACAAACUAAACUGGUGUUUGUAAUACUUACCAUACAAUCGCCGUUUCUUAAUCGCUUCAUAAGCAUCAAAUAACACCGGAUAACCAAUGCCACCAAAGAUAAUUUGGCUAAUCGCUAACCACUGGAUCACGAUGCCCCAGUUAGUGCGAUACGGGGCAAACGAAUUAGCGCCCAACAGGUCAAUGCCAGCAUUAUUAACCGCUGACAAGGAGUGGAAAAAACCAUACUGAAAGGCUAAGUUAAGGUUAUGAACUACGGGUAAUCUUUUGGUGGAAUCGACUAUGAGGGCCUUCAAUUGGUUGGACACCUUACCACUACUUUGAAAAACACUAGCAGACUCAAACGCGGGGAUAAAAUAAAACAAAAUGGUGUACAGAAAGCCAUACAGUAACUCCACCAUAAAGAGGAAUAACACCGACACCACAAUCAUUUCACUAGUGGUCCCUAACUUGGAACCACCCCGUUCUGAUUGCAACAUUAACUUCUCAUAAAAGCUGUACUUGCCCUUCUUGUGUAACUUAAACAGUCUUCAAACAAGGAAAGCAAUCACCACAAAACCAAUGCCCCCUAACUGCAGUAAAAUGGCCAACACCGUUUGCCCAAACACACUGUAGGUUUCACUCACUACCGUAGUAGAGAGCCCCGUAUCACUAAAGGCACUGACCGCUAAAAACAAAGCAUCCAAAAAGCCAUAGGAAGCCGUUUGUUUACUGAUGGUAUGACCCUGUAAAUCCACCUCAUAGCUAAUAACCUUUUGGUAGUCGGUUUUGAGCGCAAACGGGAGGAAAAGCAGUACAGCCC
Molecule: small RNA, 1580 nt
Filed under: Mycoplasmoides pneumoniae M129
Lineage: Bacteria; Bacillati; Mycoplasmatota; Mycoplasmoidales; Mycoplasmoidaceae
Description: Mycoplasma pneumoniae M129 ncRNA
Source: RNAcentral